AGCGAUAUAGUGUAAAGGUUGCACCACAGUCUCAUGAACUGUUAGAUUUGGUUCAAAUCCGGAAUUCGCUA
Molecule: transfer RNA, 71 nt
Filed under: Paxillus involutus
Lineage: Eukaryota; Fungi; Basidiomycota; Agaricomycetes; Boletales; Paxillaceae
Also listed under: 1 other name
Description: tRNA-Met
Rfam family: tRNA
About the family: Transfer RNA (tRNA) molecules are approximately 80 nucleotides in length.
Source: RNAcentral